UGCAUUCACUACUGUAAGUCACUCUGGUUAAGAGCAUCUGCUAAAUGACUAAAA
Salmo salar (Atlantic salmon) is the source of this 54-nucleotide non-coding RNA. The record is from Rfam. Lineage: Eukaryota; Metazoa; Chordata; Actinopteri; Salmoniformes; Salmonidae.